UACGAAGGGGGCUAGCGUUGCUCGGAAUUACUGGGCGUAAAGCGCACGUAGGCGGCUUUCUAAGUCGGAGGUGAAAUCCUGGAGCUCAACUCCAGAACUGCCUUCGAUACUGGAGAGCGUUGAGUCCGGGAGAGGAUGAGUGGAAGUUCCUGGUGGUAGCGGUGGAAUGCGCAGAUAUCAGGAGGAACACCAAUAGCGAAGGCAGCUCGCUGGGACGUACUGACACUGAGGCGACGAAAGCGUGGGGAGCGAACAGG
This 257-nucleotide ribosomal RNA is filed under the name uncultured bacterium. Its description in RNAcentral is "partial 16S ribosomal RNA". It matches the Rfam family "Bacterial small subunit ribosomal RNA", at positions 524 to 776 of the family's 1533-position model. The record is from RNAcentral.